UUGUCUCUUCCUAACCCUUUUAGAGUAACUUAUUCUUCUAGCCGUGUGGAUACUGAGCUAGCUUGGGGAAGGUUUGUUUGGCCUAUGUCAAAGGAAACCAAAGCGUAUAACCAUCACCAUCAUCACCAAGAAGGAAACCGGAUUGGAUCUGAGAGGCCUUCAGUUUCGGGAUUCUCCCUUGCACAAGAGUCCCCGGAACUUCUCCUUGGGUGCCUUUCCUCGUCCCCCUCCCCCAAGUGCUCUUUUUAACGCUGGUUUAGAUUUCACCGAACAGAACAAGGGUCCAAAUUGUAAUUCCCAGCCCUGGAGCAGUUGAGACGGCCUCAAGAAAAAGAUUCCAAGUGAUUGAUGCUGGGAAAGAAGCCUGCUUUCCAGGUGCGGCGAAUUUCACUUCAAGAAAUCCAGACCCUAAAGAAAUAAUCGAAA
This is a long non-coding RNA of Dromiciops gliroides (monito del monte), 426 nucleotides long. RefSeq lists it as uncharacterized. The transcript has 2 exons. The record is from RefSeq and is a predicted model, not a curated record. NCBI's taxonomy places the organism in Eukaryota, Metazoa, Chordata, Mammalia, Microbiotheria, Microbiotheriidae.